This 346-nucleotide long non-coding RNA is filed under the name Homo sapiens (human). RNAcentral's name for it is "HSALNT0186782". The record is from RNAcentral. Lineage: Eukaryota; Metazoa; Chordata; Mammalia; Primates; Hominidae.
GUCGUUGCCUAAGAUGGACAACACAAGAAUGGAGCAGCUUCUCCUGGGAGUGAGGGCUAGCUCAGAUUUCCUCCCCAUGAACUCUCCCAACACCUGCCUGGCAAGUUCUAACUGCUGCUACUGUUCCCAGACAGAUUAAAAAACAGAAACUUUGAGGUUCACAGCUAAGUGACAAGCGUCUCUCUGAGGAGAUCAACAACAGCACAUUCAUCAAAAGAGCUGCAGUAGGAUCCCAGGAGACAAUGGAAGGCUGGGACCAGGGGAGCCAGGCUAAAGAUCAGCCUCCAUGGCUCCUGGGUAAUUGGCCUCCCCAUCUCUCCAAAGGGAGCUCUUAACCGAUGCAGAU